CGAGGCGAGCGCUUGCCGGCUUCAGGUUGUUAGCUCUCCUUCAAUGGCAACUUCCCCGAGGGAGGUUAGCUUUGGGAGUUGCUGUUGAGUUGUAAUAAGGUGACUGUCCUGUAGUACAUGUAACGUGUGUUUCCGUUGUAACUGUAGAACCUAGUCUUGAGGACUGCUAGCUAGCUAGUCCUAAGGAACCUCCUUGAUCUAUGUCCCAUCGCCCCUGUAUUCAUUGAAUGUUCCCCAUGAGCGCUAUGUCCUUCUAAAGUUUAGAAACAGCGUCAUAUUUUCUCAGUUUUGCAUUCCAAACUAUAUUGUUCGAAUAUAUACGCUUACAGAAUAACAUACCUGUUUCCUUAGUUCAGGACCGACAACGAGUAUAUAUAUACAUCUUGUUCUGUGUUCAAAUGUACAUGCAAACAUUUGGUCUCCAUCUCGGUUGGCUGCAGUGUUCUUCUCCCUUCCUUCCCCGGCCCUUCAUGUCAUGCAUACAACAUUCAUCGCUGAGGAAUGUACUGACUGAUUCGCCGCAUUGACUAUCCAACUGACCAGAUGAAGAGCUCGAAGGCAGAUGUCGCGACACCGCCCUGCUUCUUUCUAUCUAGCCUAACCUGACCAUCUUCAUCUUGCUUUGUUGUUUCUUCUAGGUCUGGUUAUUUCUCAGUGAAUACGGUAAGAGCAGCGAUCUCCCGUACGCGACAGGGAGCGCCAGCACCUUCUUCACCUUCCCAACAUAGGCCCUCCUGGUGAAGUUGUUGUAGUCGUUCGCUUCGAUCUCGUCGAGGAUCUGCCGGUAUAGCAACAGAGAGGCCCAAACCUGCAAUGCAAUGCAAAACCAUAUUAUCACUCUACUGAUACUUCUUCCAUUUGAGCCCCUAAUUUUUNNNNNNNNNNCGACCCCCCCAUAAACUACACAUAGCUUCAUUUUUGCUACUGAUAAUUAACAAUGAUGAGAUCUAUAUGUAGUUUUGUUUCACAUUCAAGUCGUGGCUUUAGGGCACUUACUGGCCACCGGCUCUCCUUCCUGAGCUCGGUUACCCCUCGCUCCGCCUCCUCGAAGAACAUCCUCGCCCUCUUGAUCUGCCUCUUCAUGAAUUUCCUCCACUUGUCGGUGACGACCCCUUUGAAGAUGUCUUCAUCGGAGAGCUCUGCCUCUGCGAGCUCGUCUUGCGGCAAAUAUAUCCUUCCUCUUCUUGCACUGGGAAAUUAUUCGAAACACCAGAACAUUCAGGAUAGUGCUAUCUCAAAAUGUCCAUAUCAUGAUUGUACAACGAAAAACCAUUGCACUGUAUUGGUAGUGAGUGAGUGGCUUACUCUUCUCCGACAUCCCUGAGUAUGUUGGUGAGCUGGUUCGCGAGCCCGAGAGCCAGAGCGGCGCCAUAGACGCUCUCAGCCGUCGCCUUGGACUCAGGCGCAAUGCCCAUCACCGGGACACUCAUCAGCCCCACGGUGCCCGCAACAUAGUAGCAGUACAUGUAGAGCUCGUCAAAGUUCUUGUACCUCGCCUUCUUGAGGUCCGUCCGCAUCCCGUCGAUCAUGUCCUUGUCCUUACUACUGUACUAUAUAUACAUCUAAACACACCGUGAAAAUUGGAAAGCAGUACACAAAGCACCAAGGCUAGCUAGCAAUUAGCCAGCUUGGGCUUAGCUUCUAGCCGGCUACCCAUCGUGUACAUACGUACGCUUCGUCGCCAUUGCCGCACGUACUCGUCAGAUUGGGCCAACAGCAGCUGCCAAGCUCGGAGAGAAAAACCUAGCUAGCGGCCAGCAUGGCACCAGGACCGCUGCCGGAGUAUCAUUUGAGAAAAAAAGGACCGCCGCCGGCCCUCCCGGACGAGCUCGUAGGAGAGAUCCUGCUCUGCAUCCCGCCCGACGACCCCGCCAGCCUCCUCCGUGCGUACCUCGUCUGCAAGUCCUGGAGCGAGGCCGUCUCCCAACGCUGGUUCCGGCGCAGCUUUCACAAUCUUCAUCCAUCACCCACCGUGCUCGGGGUUCUUCAUGACUGGCACGAUGAGGCCAUCCCUACCUUCAUCCCAGCCACCGCGUCGCCGUUCUCCCUCGCCGCCCCCGACCGCUUGCUCUGGCAGGCCGUCGACCGUCGACAAUUAGGGAAGGCAACCAGGGUGUGUGAUGAUCAUGGAUACGGUAAGCUGAUUCCGAUCGUCGGCCUUUACACUCCUAUGCCCCGAGGUGAGCACAUCAGAAAAUUGUCGGCUUCGAGUGGUCAGCUCUCCAUCAAUGGAAACUUCCCUGAGGGAGGUUAGGUUUGGGUAUUUAGCUUGUGCCCAUGGGAUGGUUGAUCCAGCUUGAAAUGCAUCACUACCACCUGUCAAAGACAAUUCAUGUUCUGCAUACAUCAUACGCCUCCAAGGACUAGCUAUCAGACAUGUGUACAUGAGUUAAUUUGGAAGUGUGAGGCACGGGGGGCAUAUAGGCCUAGGGCGGGGAUUUUUUUUCAAUGUUUCAACAGAUUUGUAUAAGGGUAGUGGAAAAAGAUUGUCGGCGUGGACCUUUCAAGCUUUUUUUUUUUGCGGGGAUGGACCUUUCAAGCUGUACUCUCAUAUAUAAUAAUAAGACAUAUGACCAGGCCUUGUACACAAUUUAAAUCCCUAGAUUCCCUUUUGUGAAUAUUGGAACUUGUAAAGGAAUUAUUUUUCUUAUGUCGGCAUAGAACUUUCAGGCUUGUAACAUAAAAGGAGAUAUAUGGCCAGGCGUUGUCCACCAUUUUAAUCUGUGUAGGUUCCCCUUAAAUUUUAGAACCACGAUUUGGCAUCGUUAGGUUGAAACAACGUAUUAAACGUUCCCAUGAAGUUUAUGUUUACCUUUUUUGUUAGGUUUGUGUGGCCAUCACGACAUCAUGCCAACGGCGAACGAAGCAUUGUACAAAAUAAACAUUUCAUGAUUCUUUGAUCUUGUGUGGAUGCCGCAUUCUAUCUUUAUAUAGUCGUUCUUCUGGCUUCUAUUUCCAUGUGUUUGGUGUUCUUUCUGGUUUGGCAGCUUACCUUGCGACGGUUGCAACCAAAGAUUUUAUGUUCCCACUCCUUGAGGUGGGAGGCACAUGAGGUUCUUUGAAAGCCUCGGAAGAGGUGUAUUUGACAAAUUUAGGUUCUCACUCUUUUGAUGAAGGCGCUGGCUACGACCUAUAUGCCCACGUCGGCAUGCGUCUACUCAUCCGAGACUGGCGCCUGGGGCCAGCCGACCUUAAUGCGCGAUAGAUUCCUCAUGGACUUUGAAUACUUUUCGAGCGUGCUUGUUGGGAGGUCUUUCUUGUACUUCAUGACAUGUGGUGGGUUUAUCCUAGAGUAUGACCUGGCAAGGCAUGGACUGACUUGGUUCGACACACCAGACUCUUGCAACUCUAAGGGUGAACCCACUUGCAACCUCAUGCUGGCGGAGGAAGGUGGACUAGGACUCGCCGAAGAACUGGAUCCGCAUCUGCAAUUGUGGUCAUGGGAGGUGAAGGAUGCCCGAUGGGUGCCUGGCCGAAUCAUCUACCUGGAAAGUUUGUCCCUAGUAAAUGGUGCUCCACUUGGUGCAAAAUGUCCGGUGCAUGUGUUGGGCUUUGCCGAGGGAGCAAAUGUCAUUUUCGUGACCACCGCUGCAGGCCUCUUCGCAAUCCAAGUACAAUCAGUGCAGGCGACCAGGGUGUGCGAUGAUCAUGGAUAUGGUAAGCUGAUUCUGAUCGUCGGCCUUUACACUCCUAUGCCCCGAGGCGAGCGCUUGCCGGCUUCAGGUUGUUAGCUCUCCUUCAAUGGCAACUUCCCCGAGGGAGGUUAGCUUUGGGAGUUGCUGUUGAGUUGUAAUAAGGUGACUGUCCUGUAGUACAUGUAACGUGUGUUUCCGUUGUAACUGUAGAACCUAGUCUUGAGGACUGCUAGCUAGCUAGUCCUAAGGAACCUCCUUGAUCUAUGUCCCAUCGCCCCUGUAUUCAUUGAAUGUUCCCCAUGAGCGCUAUGUCCUUCUAAAGUUUAGAAACAGCGUCAUAUUUUCUCAGUUUUGCAUUCCAAACUAUAUUGUUCGAAUAUAUACGCUUACAGAAUAACAUACCUGUUUCCUUAGUUCAGGACCGACAACGAGUAUAUAUAUACAUCUUGUUCUGUGUUCAAAUGUACAUGCAAACAUUUGGUCUCCAUCUCGGUUGGCUGCAGUGUUCUUCUCCCUUCCUUCCCCGGCCCUUCAUGUCAUGCAUACAACAUUCAUCGCUGAGGAAUGUACUGACUGAUUCGCCGCAUUGACUAUCCAACUGACCAGAUGAAGAGCUCGAAGGCAGAUGUCGCGACACCGCCCUGCUUCUUUCUAUCUAGCCUAACCUGACCAUCUUCAUCUUGCUUUGUUGUUUCUUCUAGGUCUGGUUAUUUCUCAGUGAAUACGGUAAGAGCAGCGAUCUCCCGUACGCGACAGGGAGCGCCAGCACCUUCUUCACCUUCCCAACAUAGGCCCUCCUGGUGAAGUUGUUGUAGUCGUUCGCUUCGAUCUCGUCGAGGAUCUGCCGGUAUAGCAACAGAGAGGCCCAAACCUGCAAUGCAAUGCAAAACCAUAUUAUCACUCUACUGAUACUUCUUCCAUUUGAGCCCCUAAUUUUUN
This 4574-nucleotide long non-coding RNA is filed under the name Triticum aestivum (bread wheat). RNAcentral describes it as "long non-coding RNA (TAES_LNC017201)". Lineage: Eukaryota; Viridiplantae; Streptophyta; Magnoliopsida; Poales; Poaceae. The record is from RNAcentral.